CCCAUGGGCUCUCCCCAUCCUCCUCCUCCCCCCUCAGAGCCCCGGGGCCCUUUCUCUUCGUCAUCUCCUCAGAGUCCUCCAUUGCCCUCCCUGCCCCUUGUGGCACCCCCACCAGAACCCAUGAAAUACACUGCAGUGGUAGUUAUGGAACAACCUGACCCAGUGAAUGUUCCUUCUGAAGUCAGAGGUUGGCGUGUGCUCUGAAGCAGCAGUGUACAUUGACUAGCACAGAGACAAGAACAGAUCCCCCUGGGCUCGCACUAGAAACACACCAUUGGAUGCUGAUUCCCUGUUUACAAUUACUUUUUGAGAUCUUUGGGUCUGUAUGUAACCCAUUAAACAGAUGCUACAUUGAGUUAUGUAACCCUGAUUUGUUAAUCAGAAUAUCAUGUGGUAUUAAAUCAUAGGCUUUACAG
Molecule: long non-coding RNA, 416 nt
Organism: Dermochelys coriacea (leatherback sea turtle)
Lineage: Eukaryota; Metazoa; Chordata; Testudines; Dermochelyidae
Exons: 3
Source: RefSeq, a predicted model, not a curated record